AGCAGCGUGGCUCAGUGGAAAGAGCCUGGGCUUGUGAGUCAGAGGUCAUGGGUUCAAGUCCCAGGUCUGCUA
Molecule: non-coding RNA, 72 nt
Organism: Ornithorhynchus anatinus (platypus)
Lineage: Eukaryota; Metazoa; Chordata; Mammalia; Monotremata; Ornithorhynchidae
Source: Rfam